Molecule: transfer RNA, 72 nt
Filed under: Loxodonta africana (African savanna elephant)
Lineage: Eukaryota; Metazoa; Chordata; Mammalia; Proboscidea; Elephantidae
Rfam family: tRNA
About the family: Transfer RNA (tRNA) molecules are approximately 80 nucleotides in length. Their secondary structure includes four short double-helical elements and three loops (D, anti-codon, and T loops).
Source: Rfam by way of RNAcentral
NNGGGUAGAGCUCAGCGGUAGAGCGUGUGCUUAGCAUGCACGAGGCCCUGGGUUCAAUCCCACGUACCUCCA